Molecule: ribosomal RNA, 214 nt
Filed under: uncultured bacterium
Lineage: Bacteria
Description: partial 16S ribosomal RNA
Rfam family: Bacterial small subunit ribosomal RNA
Source: RNAcentral
UACGAGAGGCCCAAACGUUAUUCGGAAUUACUGGGCUUAAAGAGUCCGUAGGCGGCGCAGAAAGUAGGGUGUGAAAGCCCUCGGCUUAACCGAGGAAUUGCGCUCUAAACUACUGUGCUUGAGGAACCUAGAGGUGAGCGGAACUGAUGGUGGAGCGGUGAAAUGCGUUGAUAUCAUCAGGAACACCGGAGGCGAAAGGGCGGCUCACUGGGGG